GACGAACGCUGGCGGCGUGCUUAACACAUGCAAGUCGAACGGAAAGGCCCUGCGUUUGUGGGGUGCUCGAGUGGCGAACGGGUGAGUAACACGUGAGUAACCUGCCCUUGUCUUUCGGAUAACUUCAGGAAACUGGGGCUAAUAUCGGAUAGGAUCUCCUGCUCCAUGGUGGGGGUUGGAAAGUUUCGGCGGUCGGGGAUGGACUGGCGGCUUAUGAGCUUGUUGGUGGGGUAGUGGCUGACCAAGGCUUAGACGGGUAGCCGGCCUGGGAGGGUGACCGGGGACAUGGGGACUAAGGGAGGGAGCAGACGCGAACGGGGGGCAGCAGUGGGGAGUAUUGCACAAUGGGCGGGAGCGUGAUACGGAGACGCCGCGUGCGGGAUGACGGCCUUCGGGUUAUGAACAGCUUUCGCCUGAGACGAAGCGUGAGUGACGGUAAUGAAUAAAGAAGCACCGGCUAACUACGUG
This 468-nucleotide ribosomal RNA is filed under the name uncultured bacterium. RNAcentral's name for it is "partial 16S ribosomal RNA". It matches the Rfam family "Bacterial small subunit ribosomal RNA", at positions 28 to 507 of the family's 1533-position model. The record is from RNAcentral.